GAUGAACGCUGACAGAAUGCUUAACACAUGCAAGUCGAUGGGGAAGUGGUGCUUGCACCAUGGCAACCAUGGCGGACGGGUGAGUAACGCGUAAGGGACUUACCUGCAGGACUGGGAUAACAGGGGGAAACUCCUGACAAGACCGGAUAAUGUCAUGGAGCUUCAUGGCUUUAUGAUGAAAGGAGACGCCUGCGGAGAGCCUUGCGUCCUAUUAGCUAGUUGGUGAGGUAAUGGCUCACCAAGGCGAAGAUAGGUAGCCGGCCUGAGAGGGUGGACGGCCACAAGGGGACUGAGAUACGGCCGUUACGCCUACGGGAGGAAGCAGUGGAGAAUAUUGGACCAUGGGGGCAACACUGAUCCAGCAAUUCUGUGUGCAAGAAGAAGGUUUUCGGAUUGUAAAGCGCUUUCAGCAGGGAAGAAGUAAGUGACGGUACCUGCAGAAGAAGCGACGGCUAAAUACGUG
RNAcentral lists this ribosomal RNA (463 nucleotides) under uncultured bacterium. RNAcentral's name for it is "partial 16S ribosomal RNA". It matches the Rfam family "Bacterial small subunit ribosomal RNA", at positions 28 to 507 of the family's 1533-position model. The record is from RNAcentral.